Glycine soja is the source of this 4461-nucleotide RNA transcript. It is a transcript of the gene named 2-keto-3-deoxy-L-rhamnonate aldolase-like, with no coding region annotated. The transcript is spliced from 2 exons. The record is from RefSeq and is a predicted model, not a curated record. NCBI's taxonomy places the organism in Eukaryota, Viridiplantae, Streptophyta, Magnoliopsida, Fabales, Fabaceae.
CAGAAACAAAUCUGAGAAACGCAAAAACAGUGAGACACCACCAUCACUUCAGUGGAGUAGUCGAGAGAGUGAGGUGAAUACUGAAUAGUAGUAGAUGCAACUAAGAAAAUGGGGAGCAUAACCACAAGCACCAUCGGAGCUCCCCCAACCCGAAGAACAACACUCACCCCUUUCUCUUCGCUUCUCCCCAAACCCAAACCCCAUUCUCUCGCCCUAUCCACUUCCAAUCCCCACCCAUUCCAUCUCUCCAAACCCCUAACCAUUUCCCCUAAUCCAAACCCCCCCAUUCCCAAAUCCACCCCCUCCUCCUCCUCCGCCGCUACCUCUCCAUCCUCCCCCCUAAACCUCAAGUCCCGCCUCCGCAACGGCGAGACCCUCUAUGGUCUCUUCCUCCUCUCCUUCUCCCCCACCCUCGCCGAGAUCGCGGGCCACGCCGGCUAUGACUUCGUCGUCGUCGACAUGGAGCACGGCCCCGGUGGCAUCCGCGACGCCCUUCCCUGCCUUCACGCCCUCGCCGCCGCGAACACCGCCGCCAUCCUCCGCGUCCCUGAAUCCACCGCCGCCUGGGCCAAGAAAGCCCUCGACCUCGGCCCGCAGGGCCUCAUGUUCCCCAUGAUCGAAUCCCCAUUAUCCGCCCAGGACGCAGUCUCCUACUGCCGCUUUCCCCCCACCGGGCUCCGCGGCGCGGCCCAUCCCAUCGUCCGGGCCUCCAAGUACGGCCUGGACGACGAGUAUCUCGGUAAUUACCUCGACGAGCUUCUUAUCAUGUGCCAGGUGGAGUCCGAGGAGGGAGUGGCGAACACUGGCGCGAUCGCCGCCGUUGAUGGCGUAGACUGCGUGCAGAUGGGCCGUUGGAUCUGAGCGCGAGUUUAGGGUACUUGUGGGACCCAGGGAACAAGAAAGUGAGGGAGGUUUUGAAGGAUGCUGAGAACAAGGUGUUGGAGAGCCGAAACGACGACGUUGAGAUUGGGGCUUAUCUCGCAGGUUUCGCCACGGUGUAUGAUGGGGCGAGGGAUUUGAGGUCGCGUGGGUAUCACAUGGUGAGUGGCGCCGUAGACGUGGGGCUGUUCCGGAGCGCAGCGGUGGAGGAUGUGACGCGGUUCAAGAUGGGCGGGGAUGGGUCGGAGAGUGAUGAGGGGGAGGAGAAAGAGGGUGAUGAGAAGUACUGGAGUGAGUGAAUGAAUGAGAGGUGUUUUUUUAAAAAAAUAAUUAGAUUUUUUGUAAAUUAGGUGAUGUGGUUGUUGGUUUAUGUGCUUUUGAUAUUUUAAAUGAAAAUGAAUCUUUGAUUCCAUAUUUUGUGUUUGUUAUAUGUGCAACAGAAUCCAUCUAGGCAACUUUACUAGUGGUAUGAUCCAUGUAGCUGACUUGACCAGUCAUAUGAUUCAUAUAGCCGAUUUCACCUAAAGCUUUGAUGUUUAUUUGUGGAACAAAAUCUAUGUUGUAUAGAGGGUGCUGAUGAGUACAGGGUUUUGGCUUCUCUAUUUUUCAUGUUAGGGAAUUUGAUAUAUACAUUUGAAAUUUUAAUAUCUUAAGGCAAACACUAAUGUCUUCUAGCUAGAUUUGGUAUCAUUUGCAGUGCAUACCAUCUAAUCUUAUAUGCCUCAAUGAAUCUGCAUGCUGUGUCUGACACUACAAUGGCUUUGAAUUUGGGAUCCAUGACCAUUGUUUGUAGUUCUGGAAGUUUUUGCGGCUGUAUUAGCUGCAUGUGCCUGAAAUUUCAGUAACCAUGACUCUGAUUGCAACUGUAAUUUAAAACCUUGGAUACUAUCAACUGAAAAUAUUUGUGAGGAUGUUUUAUGAAUGAGAUUGUUUUGCUCAAUGGGAUGAGUAAACAUGAAUUGGAUUGAUAUGCAGAUAGAAGUAUGAUAGGUUGCACUUAUUGAUUUAGAUGUCAGCAUAGGAGUUCUGGCUGUCUAGAUUUUAGAACAGGUUUGUACUGUUUUUCUAUGGCAUAAUUACAUGGAGAGUUGUUUUUGUUUGAUCUGUUAGACAUAAAUUAUGGGAGUCUCAGCUCUUAGGUGUUAUUCUGUCUCAAUCUCAUUUUUAACAUUGGACAUACUUCCCUAUUAUUAUUAUUUUUUUCAUUUGGGUUCUUAUGAUGACCAUAUAAAUUGCCUCUUUGACCCGUAAAUGAUUGUUCUUAGUAGUAGUUGCUCUGUUUUUUGUGUAGUAUGUGUCUCAUUCUUUAAACAAGACAUUAUGUUUUGUUAUUUGUUGUUUAAUUUGGUUCAUUUGUCAUGGGGAUUGGGUUAGAAGAGACCAAAAUAAUUCAAAAUUGCUGAUGAUAAUGAUGUUUUGCCUUUCUAUUUUCAUCUGGGUAUGUGGGGGAAUUCAUAAUACAUGUUGCUGUUGAAAUUCUAUGAUCUCAUGCAUAUGCUUGUACUCCUAUAAUGAUUUGGCUUGAUUUGGUGUCACAUGCACUGUUUGCCAGCUUAUAUGCCUCAUUGAAUGUGUGCCUUGUAUAAACACUACGAAGGUUAUAAAUUGUGGUGUGUGCAACUGCAGUAUCAUCGUUUUGGUGGUCUUUGGGAUUGCAUUAACCACGUUUACCAUAUAUCAGUAACCACAUGAUUACAACUAUGACUGCAACUGCAAUUUAAGACUUUAGGCACUACCAACUGAAAACAUUUUAAAGGCUAUUCUUUGAAUAAUAUGGGUAGCCUUGAUCAAUGGGAUGAGUAGGCAUGGGUUGGAUUGACUUGCAGAUAAAUGCAUGGGAGGUUGUGUUUAUUGAAUUAGAUGGCAUAAUAGGGAUUCCAGUUUCUAGAUAGUAGACCGGGUUUGUACAGCUUUGUUGAUGCAUGAUUACAUAGAGUUAUGGUUAUUUGAUCUGUUAAAACAUAAAUUAUGGGAGACUCAACUUUCAACUUGGUGCUAUUCUGUGGCAUUCGUAAUAUUGAAGUAUUGAACUUCCUAUUUGUUUUGGGUUUUUCAUAUAACCAUAUAAAUUACCUCUUGGACCCAUGUAUGACUGUAAUUCAUAGUUCUCUGGUUAUUGGUGUUCUCUGUAUCUCAAUUGUUAAAAAAGACAUGUUAUGAUAUUUGUGGUCUAAUUUGGUCCAUUUGUCAUGGUGAUUGGGUAGAAGGAACCAAAAUAAUUCAAAGUUGCUGUUUUGUAGUGUUCUCUUGUUUCUUCUCCAACAGAAAUAGUUGCUAUAUGGCUUUGCGAAACAUCAAACAAGAAGGUUACAAUUACAGUAGUCAAGUCACUCCUUCAAACAAGCUAAGCCUCCUGUGGUUAGAUGGAAGAAAUUAUAAACUGAUCUAGCUUUUUUUUUCUCUGAUGUGUAAUUGUGCUCUUGGUUUUGCUGUAAAUACAUUCUGUAAUACGAUGAUGGUGUGUGUUUUGUAAUUUCCCCUGUCAUGAUUACUCUUUACAUGUGCAGCUCCAAAUACCUUAAUUUGGAACAAAAAGAAAUCUGUCAGGUAUUAAUUGCUAUUGAAAUGCAUUAUGUCUCAUGAUGUGAUAUGGUAAUCGAUUGCUUGGGCCAUCUUAAUGAAUUUUUUGCUGAUGUGAUUAAGUGUUAACCUUUGUUGCUCGUGAUGAUGAUUUCAGUCUUUUACAUGACAAUUGAAACUGACCUUAGAGAUUAUUCAUGUUUGGUUGCUUGAAUCUUGAGAUAACACUUUGGCCUUAUCUUUGCACUUGGAAAGACACCCCUCUGCUUGAGCUUUUGUCAAUUGAUUUUCCAUUCAAUCAAAUAGAGUGAAAGUUCAAUUGAAGACGGUGUCUUGCAUGCGAAGCGAAACACGUUUCGCACGGUGCGAAAGUGAUUUGUGUCUGUCGGAUUACUUAAUUUGAAGAUCUAUGGCUGCGGUUUUUUCUUCUAUUUUUUUGUCUUUUUACUUUAAUUUUUUCCCGUUAUACCCUUUUACUUUUUCUCUUCCUUCCCCUCUUUCCCCAUUUCUCUUUCCUCUCUUCUCUACCAAAACGGCAGAGUUGGUUGCCAUCAGAGGUUUGGGAGCGAGAGAUAAGGUGGUGGUGCAUGGUGGUAUGGUCGUGUGGUGCCAUCUGUGGUUCUGGGGUAAGAUAGAAGAUGAAAAUGAAAAACAAAAGGAGGAAAGAGAGAAAGAAAAGAGAAAAGUUGUCAGAAAAUGCUUCCCGUGGUGGUGCGUGAUGAUUGGAGGGCAAGGUGGAGAAGAAAAGAAAAUAAACAAGAUGUCGCUGCCAAAAAUCACCUCUGACGACAGUGCAAGGUGGUCUGCCGCGGAGGUCACAGUGGGUUGAGGUGGACGUGGUGAUAGACUUAGGGGCGAGAUCUAACCCUCAGUCAUUUAUUUAUGCUUUGUCUUAGUGAGGAUCAACUUAUGGUUUAGAUAUGAUUUUGGUUUUAUGUUGUAUUAUUUCCCUUAAUGGGAUCCUCGAGAUUUGUUUCGAGAUUUGUUUAUGAUGCUUUGAUGAUGGCCUUGGAACACAUGUACACUUUAUGUUAUAUAUUUUGAGGACCUUUUAUGGGUGAA